Molecule: ribosomal RNA, 253 nt
Filed under: uncultured bacterium
Lineage: Bacteria
Description: partial 16S ribosomal RNA
Rfam family: Bacterial small subunit ribosomal RNA
Source: RNAcentral
UACAGAGGUCUCAAGCGUUGUUCGGAUUUAUUGGGAGUAAAGGGUGCGUAGGCGGCGGGGUAAGUUGGGUGUGAAAUCUCGGAGCUUAACUCCGAAACUGCAUUCGAUACUGCCGUGCUUGAGGACUGGAGAGGAGACUGGAAUUUACGGUGUAGCGGUGAAAUGCGUAGAUAUCGUAAGGAAGACCAGUGGCGAAGGCGGGUCUCUGGACAGUUCCUGACGCUGAGGCACGAAGGUCAGGGGAGCAAACGGG